RNAcentral lists this ribosomal RNA (493 nucleotides) under uncultured bacterium. RNAcentral's name for it is "partial 16S ribosomal RNA". It matches the Rfam family "Bacterial small subunit ribosomal RNA", at positions 28 to 523 of the family's 1533-position model. The record is from RNAcentral.
GACGAACGCUGGCGGCGUGCUUAACACAUGCAAGUCGAGCGAUGAACCUUUCAUGAAUUUUUCGGAAUGAUUGGAAGAGGAUUAGCGGCGGACGGGUGAGUAACGCGUGAGCAACCUGCCUUAAACAACGGGAUAGCCUCGGGAAACCGGGAUUAAUACCGUAUGAGACCCCGCCUCCACAUGAAGAAGAGGUUAAAGAUUUAUCGGUUUAAGAUGGGCUCGCGUCUGAUUAGCUAGUUGGUGAGAUAAAAGCCAACCAAGGCAACGAUCAGUAACCGGCUCGAGAGAGUGAACGGUCACAUUGGAACUGAGACACGGUCCAAACUCCUACGGGAGGCAGCAGUGGGGAAUAUUGCACAUGGGGGAAACCCUGAUGCAGCGACGCCGCGUGAGCGAUGAAGGAAUUCGUUUCGUAAAGCUCUGUCCAAGGGGAAGAUAAUGACAGUACCCUUGGAGGAAGCCCCGGCUAAAUACGUGCCAGCCGCCGCCGUAA